This 24-nucleotide unclassified non-coding RNA is filed under the name Mus musculus (house mouse). RNAcentral's name for it is "oocyte_clustered_small_RNA6989". Lineage: Eukaryota; Metazoa; Chordata; Mammalia; Rodentia; Muridae. The record is from RNAcentral.
UGCCAAGUGCAGCAGGGCAGAAUG